UCUGCAUCUAGAUUUACCUCGUUCUCUUUUGUCUCCGCUUUUUUUUCACAUUUCCUUGCGACCCUGGCCCUUGAGCGACAAAAAGGGGAAGCCAAGGCUGGCCCGAGGAACGGAGAGGGCACAUGGCCUAGCCACAAGUGGAGCUUCUGCUCCGCCCGAAGGGAUGCGCUGGAGCGGCCUCUUCCUUCUGCCACGGUCUUUCUUUGCCAACUAGUAGGUGGAGACUGGACCUCAGAAGAGGGAGUGGGUGCCCCGAGAACUCACAGCUAGCGGACAGUGGAAAGGGCAGGAGCCGGACCAAGGUGAGGACAGUGGAACUGAAGGCCGCUGGUUACCUCUCCUGCCCUCCGCUGGCCACAGUGGAGAAGACAGCCCCUCCCUCCUGCUCUGACCUGACAGUGUUCAUCCAUCGCCCUGUAUUAGCGAAGAACAACAUCAAGCUGGCUAGCAAGGAACUGUAUACAGGGUCCAGCUGGGUAUCACACUGGAUCUCACCCAAAGCUUAGAUGUGAUCCAGCUCAGUAUCACAAAGCAGAACGAAAAGGAUGUGUUUGGGCUGAGAGGCCAUACAUUGGUAAGUGGCACAUGAACUGUAUUUUCUAUUGAGCAUUGCUGGUAUAUGGCAAAUUUGCAUAAAAUUAUAUUGAAAUUGAC
Molecule: long non-coding RNA, 654 nt
Filed under: Homo sapiens (human)
Lineage: Eukaryota; Metazoa; Chordata; Mammalia; Primates; Hominidae
Description: non-protein coding lnc-ZSCAN10-3:15
Source: RNAcentral